CUGCAGAAACGUGUGGAUCAUGCGCAAGAACCAGUUUCAUAAUCGUGCAGACACUUGAAAAUCAAAAGUGAUUUAAAUACGUAUGAUCGUAUAUUAGAUUGAUUUCUGAUAAUUAAAUUUGUGAAUUUUUAAGAUGAUACUUUAAUCUUGAAUGGAGAAAUUAUGAUAAUUUAAAAAAGGAAGUUUUAUUUCUGAUGGAUUGAAAUAAGAAAGAUAUAAAAUAAUUGAGUGAAAAAGUUACAGCGUUUCCAACAUCAAAGGGCACCGAAGAUCCUCUACAACUAACACAACGUGUUCAAUAGCGACUCACCCGUCAAUUUGCAUGGUUGCGUUCACCAGAGAUGUUUUCUUCGGAUUGUCUCCAGCUCGACGAUGCCUUUGGAUAGCCAGAACACCGGCACGACGACGAAGGAAGAUCAACGACAUCCCUCUCAACAAGUUUUUUUAGAUUAAUCUCGAUAACCAACUCCGCCCAACUGGAGAUCCAGUAUGGAUGGAUGUUCUGCUAAGUUCGAAAAGGCGGAUCUCUUUCCGCUUGAGGGCAACGAUCGUCUCCCCAUGCGACAUCAGCCUUUGAAUCGCGUUGAUAGUAAUUGAGACGUACGCGUCCUUGGGUUGGGACGUGAUGCCGCCGUGGGCAUUAUUCGAAACGAGAACACGCGGCUUUCUUAAUUAAGACCUAAUGGCGGCUUUGGCCUCUGUUAUCUCGCGCCAACGAUCUGAAGAAUUGAUUUCUUCAAGGAGGCUGGUCCAGCUGCUAUCGCGCCUAUCACUGUUAAAUCUUGCUUCUUUUUAGAAAUGGCGUAUGUACGUACUGUGGAGGAACGUUGUAUCUGUAAUUGGUCUCGCUAGGUUGGAUACUUCUUCGGCGUCAACCGACGUGUCGCAGGAUAUACAGAAGAUCAGUGGAUAAACUCGUACAGUUUUAGACAAAUGAAAAUAGUGUAUUCGAUAAAAUUGAAAUUAUGAAUUUCAAGUUAUAAUUGUAAGAUGAUCAAUUGGAUAUAGUUAAGAUGAUUUGAGAGUAUAGAAAUUUGAGGAAAAUUGGAUUGGAACAAUUCUGAAGUUUCAGAAAUGGCAUAUUAUUGUAUCCCUUAUUGAACAUAUUUUUCGAAUCAUUAUCGCAAGGUACACAGGAUAAAAAUCCCAAACCAAACUGGAAGCAAUCAGUUCCAUGAAAGGUUUUCUUAACGAUUGAUAAUGGAGACAUUAUUCAUGGGUCUGAAAUGCAAAAGUAUCUCAUAAAUACAAAUUUCAACUGACUACUUCGAUGACAUGGAUAUCCUUGGCAAUUGAUGAAACUUUUAGAUCAGUAUUUCCAACCUUCUUCGAAUCAUUAUUCUUUUCAAAUGAAAAUAUUCUCCAUGUUCUGAAAGCAUUCAUACCACAUAGUUGGUCAACAAGUCGAUGAAAAUGCAAAAAAUAACUAUUGAAAAUAUUCGUCAGAUGGCGCAACAGUCACCAACGCAAACAAUGUCAUAUAAUACCCACGUCAUUCGAUAAAAUGCUAAUUCUAUGGAGAUAUGAUAAUUUUUCUUUAAAUUUGCAACAGUCCAAUAAAAAUCGAAUAAAGGAGAAACAAGGUAAAAUUUUUUUACUGAUGUAAAAUCCAAACAAAUGAAGGAACGUAGCAGCUGCAAGCUGAAAAUGCACGACGAAAGAUCCGCACUUUUUCCUGGUCGACGCACACGCGCACCCAGCUUGUUGCGGCUGUUAUUUAUGGCCGAGCGGUUUAUUGAAAGUGAGAACACGAUUGUUACCAUGAAAACGUUUCGUUGGCGCAUGCGCAAACGGCCGGACAUCCGUGUGUAAGGUCUGCGUUAUUGCUUUAUGGGAGCCUCGAUUUCUCGUAUUCGAAAUCCGGUAUAAUGGAAUCUGACCACUUUCCACGACAAAUCUAUAGAUCUGGUUGGGACGAUCUUUUCUCCUUUGGAAAGAAAUUCUGAUUAUUCAUGUACCGUUUAAGUCGAUUGAGUUUUUGAUUUUUAUAGUGUUGCCGAUCAAGAUUCUUGGGUUUUGGACGACGCGAUAUUGGUAUGUUGGAUCGAAGAAUUUGAAAUUCGCGCCAAUCACUAGCGAUAAGAAUGACUUCUGAGAUAGAGAUUGCAUUUUUUAAAAAGAUUAUUUGAAUUGGAGAUUUUUAUUGGAAAUACUUAAAAAAAAAUUCUUAUGGUAUAAGAAUUAAUAUAUUUUUUAUGUUUCUAAAAUAUUGCCCAACACACAACACGAGAUAACUCCUUCAAGUAAGCUAGGCUAUAAUCUUGAAACGAUUACAAAAGGAAAAUAAUUUUAUGAGGCAAAAUUAGAUGGUUUCACAAUGGAUUCUGCAUAUGCCACUAUUAUGCAUUUCGUGCAUCUACGUAGUUGCAAAGUGCAAUUGCACUUAUUUUGAAUGGAAUCUCCAUACAUUUCAGUGGAAGUUCCUUUGCCAAGAGUAGCAAGGGGAAAUCUUCAAGUGCAACAAUAAUUAUUACCUGAAAUGAAAAUACAUUUUACAUGUAAAAUAGCAUUGAAAAUUAUUCAUAUUAAAUUGACUUAUAUAUAUCCAAAUAUAUUUAUAUCAAUAAUUCAAAUUAUUAAACCAACGAAACAUUUCAGCAUAAAUAAACCAA
Molecule: long non-coding RNA, 2612 nt
Organism: Apis cerana (Asiatic honeybee)
Lineage: Eukaryota; Metazoa; Arthropoda; Insecta; Hymenoptera; Apidae
Source: RefSeq, a predicted model, not a curated record